RNAcentral lists this small RNA (558 nucleotides) under Arabidopsis thaliana (thale cress). RNAcentral's name for it is "ATSL112700". Lineage: Eukaryota; Viridiplantae; Streptophyta; Magnoliopsida; Brassicales; Brassicaceae. The record is from RNAcentral.
UUUUUUGUUUGGAGACCCGCUAUCUACAUACAAAAUACCCGUUUCUAUUUUUUGGGGUAUUUUUAGGGCCUGAAACUUUUUAUCCAAACUGACCCAAACCCAACUAGACCCGACCCGAACCAUAACCGAAUAUUUCGAAUUAUUUUAUUGGGUAGUAAAUCAUAUACCAUUAAUCCUAAACCCGAACGGGUUCUACCCAAACUCGAAUGGGUUACUCAUAUGUCCAACCCUAUUCUCUAAUUUAAUUAUCUAAAAACUUCCAAAAAAAAUAUAUGUUUUGCUGACUACUUUUUAUUCGAAAAAUUUUACAUCCUCUUCUACCAAAAUCAUUUCAUAAGACAUCGCAAAACCCUUGGAAUAAUGAUUUCAUGAAUGAAGAAUCCUAAUUUGAAUAUAUCAAGAAAUUUUGAAAGGUUUUAAGUUUUUGAUAGGUAUGUAUGUGAGAAGGUAUAUGAUAUUAUUUUAUUUGAUUUUAAAUGUAUGAUAUUAUUUUAUUUGAUUUUAAAUGUAUAGUCAACUGCGAUUUGUAUAUGUUUUGUUGAUAUUAUUUAUGUUGUU